AGGUGUCAAUGACUGCACAAGUAGGGCAAUGGCAAAUCAGACACAAUCAUGCUGGCACUUGGAAAGAGGCAGAUAAGAGGAAAGAGUUUGUUUUUCUAGGCACAGAGACAUGAAUCUGAAAGAAGUGCCCUGUAAAGGGAUCCAGUAACGGAGGAAGGUUAGAUCCUGCUCAUCCAUUCACCUUAGGAGUGUCUGGCUCUGGUGGUCACUAAGAACCUAAACCAAAGUCCACUGAAGACAAUGAGGAUCAGGACUCAGCAGAACUGCUUUUUUGGAGUCCAAGGUGUUCAUUCUAAAACCCAGCAGGGCAAAAUUUUCACACGGCAAAACUCUGAUGCACAAUCAGCUGUUUCCCAAAUAGAUAAAAUGGACUCAAAUGUAACAUCUCAACCAUGCUCUCUGUAGAAUCAACUCAUUUCUCUCCUGUGGCUUAUUUUGCCUGUAAAAUUGACAAAUAAUAGAAAAUGCACCUCAAGGGGAUUUCAGCCCAAUGAAAGGGUAAAAACUACUUGAGGCA
This is a long non-coding RNA of Mauremys reevesii (Reeves's turtle), 517 nucleotides long. RefSeq lists it as uncharacterized. NCBI's taxonomy places the organism in Eukaryota, Metazoa, Chordata, Testudines, Geoemydidae. The transcript has 3 exons. The record is from RefSeq and is a predicted model, not a curated record.